GACGAACGCUGGCGGCGUGCUUAACACAUGCAAGUCGAACGGAAAGGCCCUGCUUUUGUGGGGUGCUCGAGUGGCGAACGGGUGAGUAACACGUGAGUAACCUGCCCUUGACUUUGGGAUAACUUCAGGAAACUGGGGCUAAUACCGGAUAGGAGCUCCUGCUGCAUGGGGGGGGUUGGAAAGUUUCGGCGGUUGGGGAUGGACUCGCGGCUUAUCAGCUUGUUGGUGGGGUAGUGGCUUACCAAGGCUUUGACGGGUAGCCGGCCUGAGAGGGUGACCGGCCACAUUGGGCCUGAGAUACGGCCCAGACUCCUACGGGAGGCAGAAGUGGGGAAUAUUGCACAAUGGGCGGAAGCCUGAUGCAGCAACGCCGCGUGCGGGAUGCCGGCCUUCGGGUUGUAAACCGCUUUCGCCUGUGACGAAGCGUGAGUGACGGUAAUGGGUAAAGAAGCACCGGCUAACUACGUG
This 468-nucleotide ribosomal RNA is filed under the name uncultured bacterium. RNAcentral describes it as "partial 16S ribosomal RNA". It matches the Rfam family "Bacterial small subunit ribosomal RNA", at positions 28 to 507 of the family's 1533-position model. The record is from RNAcentral.